RNAcentral lists this small nuclear RNA (124 nucleotides) under Danio rerio (zebrafish). RNAcentral describes it as "U1 spliceosomal RNA (ENSDARG00000084068.2)". Lineage: Eukaryota; Metazoa; Chordata; Actinopteri; Cypriniformes; Danionidae. The record is from RNAcentral.
UUUUUUAUUUUGAAGUUAAUACACUUUACAUUUUGCUCAUGCUGAUAGCUGCAAAUUCCCUAAAUCUAGUAAACUCGACUUCAUAAUUUCUGGUCAUGGGGGAGUGUGUUUCCGCUCUCCCCUG